AAUGAACUUCAACUUGAUGUGUGUAUAUAUAUUAACACCUUCUAGUGUCUUCUCUAUCUAUUCCAAUUUAGAGAUAGAGUUUUUAUUUUAUACGUUUUUCUCUCUUUUCUUUCUUUAUAAACUCUAACCCUUCAAAACUUUGUUUUCCCUAGCCUCACUAUAUUUCACCUCCUAUAGAAAAAUUUGGUCUUAUACAUUUUUCUUUAGACCUUAAUCAUUUCUUGGUUCAUUCUACUCAGCUAGAUUUUCUAGUUUUAUUCAUCUAUACAUGAUUUUUUAAUCAUGAAAGGUUUACAAGAUGUGGCUGAUUUUUGGAGAUGAGAAAUGAGUAUGCGCAGGGAAUUUGAUCAAAUAUUUAAUAUGUGGAAGAAUGCAUGGCAAAAAGGGUUUCAUUGGUUAGUAUAGUUGUGGAAAUAUGUGAUCAUGAGACAUUUCAUGUUGACAGAAGAGAGAGAGCACAACCCGGGAAUGGUUUAAAGAGAGUCUUUGCUUUUGUCGGGAGUGUGCUCUCCCUUCUUCUGUCAUCAUCACAUCACUUACUAUAUACUUUCCAUGCUUUGCUAUAUGCACCACUAUCUCAUACCAAUCAAGCAAACCUAGGUUCUGACCUUUUGGGUUCUGAAGUUACAAGUCUGAGUUCUGAACUCGUAGGUUCUGACCUAGUAGGAUUUGAACAUCUGGUUCUGUUAUUUUUCUGUUUUGUUAGUUAGAAGUUAGUUGUCAAUUAGUUGUUACAUCUGACUAAGUUUGUUAGUUAGUUAGUUACUUAACAUUUCAGUAUAGAUAAACACUUGUAAUCUCAUUUUGUUAAUAAUGCAAUUUUACUCUUUUCUCUAAAUUCAUCUUAACUCAUAUUUUCUCAACCCUCUCAAACUAUCUCCAAUAAAGUAGUAUCUAGAACAAUAAGAUUCAGGCAAGAAAGUGUUGCAAGAUUGAUUAGCCAUGACUUGGGAAUGACAAUUUUCAUACAAACUUAUCAGUUAUUGAAUGAAAGAAUUUGGACAAAUGGAUUAUCCAAAUAAAGGUAAUUUUUGGAGUUCAAGAAGUGUUUGAGGUGGUGAACAAUGGUGUGGAGGCACUACCAGCAAAUCCUACAGAAGUGCUUAGGGCUGCAUUAAAGAGGGCAAAAAAAUAAUUGUAAAGCCUUGUUCUACAUUCAUCAAUGUGUAUAGAUAGCAAAGUUUUUGGGAAAAUUACAGAUGCAUAAAGUUUAAAAGAUGCAUGAGACACCCUCGUGAAGUACUAUGGUGGUGAUCCAAAGGUCAAGGACUCAAGGUGUAAUUGUAUAACCUUUUUGUGUUAGAAAUUUAUUUUUUAAUUAAGUGCUUUUAAAAAAUUUCUUAUCUUCAAUUUAGAGCUUUCAAGUAUUUGUAA
Molecule: RNA transcript, 1374 nt
Organism: Trifolium pratense (red clover)
Lineage: Eukaryota; Viridiplantae; Streptophyta; Magnoliopsida; Fabales; Fabaceae
Gene name: nuclear transcription factor Y subunit beta-like
Exons: 3
Source: RefSeq, a predicted model, not a curated record